GCCAACUUCUACAUGCGCCCGAUCGAAGGCCUCACCGUCCUCCUCGAUAUCGACACACAUGAGGUGGUGGAGGUUGUCGACGUCGGUCCCAACGUCCCGGUGCCGAAGUUCACCGGCACCGACUACCGUUAUGAGGCGGUCGCCGGCAACCGACCACUAUAUCUUGGUUCAGUAAAGCCAAUAUCGAUCGAGCAGCCACAAGGGCGGAGCUUUGAGAUUGUCGAUGGACACACGGUGAAGUGGGCAGGAUGGGAAUUUCACCUCAAGGCGGAUCCGAGGGCAGGGGUGGUGGUGUCGGGAGUGACUGUGGCGGACUCCGAGAGCGGGGAGCAGAGGCGAGUGAUGUAUAGGGGUUUUGCAUCGGAGCUGUUUGUGCCGUACAUGGAUCCAACUGAUGCGUGGUACUUCAAAACGUAUAUGGAUGCAGGGGAGUAUGGGUUCGGGUUGCAGGCGAUGCCAUUGGUGCCGUUGAAUGAUUGCCCGAGGAAUGCUUACUACAUGGAUGGGGUUUUUCCGGCCGCCGACGGGAGGCCGUAUGUGAGGCAGAACAUGAUUUGUGUGUUUGAGAGGUAUGCUGGGGAUGUCGGGUGGAGGCAUUCUGAGAGUCCGAUUACUGAGUUGGAGAUCCGGGAGGUGAGGCCGAAGGUGACGCUGGUGGCCAGGAUGGCGGCAUCGGUGGCGAAUUAUGACUACAUUGUUGAUUGGGAGUUUCAGACUGAUGGGCUCAUCCGUGUCAAGGUUGGGCUCAGUGGAAUCCUUAUGGUGAAGGGAACACCCUACCAGCACAUGAAUGAGGUCCCCCACAAGGAAGAGAUAUAUGGCACACUCCUUUCCGAGAACGUGAUAGGUGUCAUCCAUGACCACUACAUCACCUUCCAUCUCGACAUGGACGUCGAUGGCACCGACAACACAUUUGUCAAGGUGAAUCUGGCCAGACAGGCCACUAACCCUGGCGAGUCGCCAAGAAAAAGCUACCUCAAAGCCACCAAGGAGGUGGCCAAGACAGAGAAGGAUGCACAGAUCCA
RNAcentral lists this unclassified non-coding RNA (1025 nucleotides) under Hevea brasiliensis (rubber tree). The record is from RNAcentral. Lineage: Eukaryota; Viridiplantae; Streptophyta; Magnoliopsida; Malpighiales; Euphorbiaceae.